RNAcentral lists this ribosomal RNA (279 nucleotides) under uncultured bacterium. RNAcentral's name for it is "partial 16S ribosomal RNA". It matches the Rfam family "Bacterial small subunit ribosomal RNA", at positions 506 to 784 of the family's 1533-position model. The record is from RNAcentral.
UGCCAGCAGCCGCGGUAAUACGGAGGGUGCGAACGUUAAUCGGAAUUACUGGGCGUAAAGCGCGUCUAGGCGGUCCGUUAAGUGGGAUGUGAAAGCCCCGGGCUCAACCCGGGAACUGCAUUCCAAACUGCCGGACUGGAGUAUGGUAGAGGGAGGUAGAAUUUCUUGUGUAGCGGUGAAAUGCGUAGAUAUAAGAAGGAAUACCGAUGGCGAAGGCAGCCUCCUGGACCAAUACUGACGCUAAAGCGCGAAAGCGUGGGGAGCAAACAGGAUUAGAUA